CCGAUUGCUUUGUUGUGAUUUUCUGGAAGAGGCCAAGGCAUUGGAAGGGCCGGCCAGCUGCAGGGUUGGCCUUGGGGAAAAUAUUUUUAAAGAGGAAAUUUCACAAUUUGGAAAGAUAAUGCCCUUUGCUAUCAAUCAUUUCGUUUUUAUUUACAUUUUCUCUUAGCAGCCGGUUUGUUAAAAGUGAAAGGAGGGGGGAAAGUGGGUUUUUUGUUAAAUUUCCCUCUUGAGACUUUUGGGCGUUUGGGUUUCGUUUUGUGCAGGGACAAGAGCAGGCCGGACUCGCCGGCCCGGCCUGGGCCGGGGAACGAGCGGCCGCCGGCUGUCCCUCUCUUCGCAGUCCGAGCAUCCCCGGCCCCUGGCGGGCAGCUGGGAUAGUUUGGGGGACCGAGGGGCGCUUGGGGAACCGGUUUGUUUCCCAGGCCUGGGAAGAGUGCGCCGCAACCCUCUGGUCCCUUGGGGGAAAGUGAGUUCUCUUUUCUUCUGACUGCCGCGGGCCAGAAGAACCACCUCCACCCUCACCCCCGCCCCGGGCAGCUUCCUCCCUCCGGAGUCCGACCUGGGCCGGCCGGCGCCGCGGCUGCUUUUCUGCUUUUCCCCGCGCCCUGCCUGUCUGCAGCCGGCGCUCUACCCAGUCUGCGCCGCAGGAGAGCGCGCCCGGGCAAGGGACCCGGAAGCCCCUUGAAAUUCGGCCCCGCGAGGGUCCUGGAGCCCACGCUCGGCCUCUCUGGGGCACCCAGAUGGGCGCUGGGGGCCGUUCCGGCUGCGAGCUCCGCACCGCAAACGCCGGCGGAGCCUGGGUCCCCGCGCGGGUCCCCGCGGCGCGCGCCGGUCCCUUCUCCCCAGCUUGGGCCGCAGGACUGAGCUGCCUGAAGCGCCGACAGAACCACCCACAGAAAAGUCCUAGUCGCUUUCGGGGAGUCGGAGACCCGGUGCCGUCUCACAGAAACUCCUGAGCUGGGCGCGAGCUCUGGUCUUCUGGUUUGGGAGCGCCUGCCCAAGGCUGCGGGGCCUUUUCCCGGGUUGCACGCAAAGCAACCCCAGCGACCUCCGGGACGCCGCCCGGAGCGGGCUUAGUGCAGACUCUGGCUUCGUCACCACCUGUACGGAGCGGGUAGCUUCCUGCGCCUCUGACCCUGAUGCCUGUGCGCCCCGAGAGCCUGGGAACGGGAGCUGGCACCCAGGAGGACCCCGGGGACGCCGCAGCCCCGCUCUCACUCUGGUCCAGCCGAGAGAGUCCGGGCUGGACCUGGUUUCUCGAGAAUCCUGGCCGACGGGACAGCUUGCCAACCCCAGGUUGUGGGACAGACACCGCUGCCCGCAGCCCCGCCAGGUGGGCGGGGAGGGCGCUCGUGGAGGUGGUGCGGCCGGGGUCCCACACACCCGUGCCCGCGGCUUGGGACCUGAAAACCAGGCUGCUGCUCACCGUCUCACCAGCACCAGCCACGUGCUCCUAGCCACUGUGACCCGCAAGCUUUGCCCUCCUUUGCCUCGCGUCUUCAGACAGGGUUCCUUGGGCCACCACACCCCGCUUGCUAGGACCUGCUCCGGCAGGGAAAGACCUAGAAACUUCCCUGCCUUGAGAUUCAGGCCUGGGACUGGCGGGAGACGAACUGGGAGUGUUCGUGCCUUCAUGUCCUCUCUUGGUAUUUUAUUAACAAAACCCCAAAACAAGCCCCUUCCCUUAAAAGUUUAAUGAGACCCCCUCCCCGGAGAAGAUACGCAGAGGCAGCAAAAUUCUGGAGCUGGGGCGCCAGGGGUCGAGGGCAGAAAGGAUUCCCCGACGUGUUGGACGCAGCCGAGUCACCCGCGGCGCGGGGUUAGUGAAGGGUGGGUGCCAGCAUGUGCUGCAUGUCCAGGCGAGGUGCGAGCCUCCUCGGAGGGACAAACGCCCCUCCCCAAGGUGCGCCCCCAGCUGUCUCCAGCGUUCUCCCGUGCAGCCGCGGGAUCCCAGGCGCGCUGCCGCCGGCUGGAGUCCUGGCGAAGCGCCGCGUGUCCGCCAGGCGGCGCUGCGGAGCCCGGAGGAGCGGGAAGGAGACCGGGAACCCGGGCAGUGCGCAGGCCGCCCGCUGGGUCGUCAUCCCGAGCCCCAGCGCCUCCGCUUUCGCACGGCUUCUGGGGCGCUGUCCGGGAGGCCCCUGCCUCUCGCUCCUUCUCUCCUGCUGCGAACCGUCUCCCCUGCUCUUCUCCACCGGCUCCAGCUGCUGCCUUUGUUUUCUCCUAGCUCUCUUUUCCUAUCCCAGAGGGCUUAGUCCAAGUGCCACGAGUCCCUUCCCAGCCUGGGGAGCUCCCGCCACCACUCUCGCGGCUCCAAGUCACCUUGUCUGCCACCCUGAGAUGGUCCCCACACAUUCACGCAUUCAUUCACACCCCUCGCUCACUGAUUAUUUCCUAGGGCCUACUCCGGGGCCAAGGGCUGCCCAUCCCUUUCCUCGCCCCCAACACAGCUGGAGAAACUGAGGCCAAGUCCUGGAAGCCAGUGGCAACGCCAGCGGAGAAAACCAUUCAACGCCCUCCCCCCGCCCACCUGCCCCUCUGUUGGUGAUACUGAGUGACCCUCAGGUCCUCGUGCUGGGUGACUUCGAAUAAAUAACAGAUCAGGGA
Molecule: non-coding RNA, 2604 nt
Organism: Microcebus murinus (gray mouse lemur)
Lineage: Eukaryota; Metazoa; Chordata; Mammalia; Primates; Cheirogaleidae
Source: RefSeq, a predicted model, not a curated record